AGGGGAUUAGUGGCGAACGGGUGAGUAACACGUGGGCAAUCUGCCCUUCACUCUGGGACAAGCCCUGGAAACGGGGUCUAAUACCGGAUACGACCUCCGACCGCAUGGUCUGGUGGUGGAAAGCUCCGGCGGUGAAGGAUGAGCCCGCGGCCUAUCAGCUUGUUGGUGGGGUGAUGGCCUACCAAGGCGACGACGGGUAGCCGGCCUGAGAGGGCGACCGGCCACACUGGGACUGAGACACGGCCCAGACUCCUACGGGAGGCAGCAGUGGGGAAUAUUGCACAAUGGGCGAAAGCCUGAUGCAGCGACGCCGCGUGAGGGAUGACGGCCUUCGGGUUGUAAACCUCUUUCAGCAGGGAAGAAGCGAGAGUGACGGUACCUGCAGAAGAAGCGCCGGCUAACUACGUGCCAGCAGCCGCGGUAAUACGUAGGGCGCAAGCGUUGUCCGGAAUUAUUGGGCGUAAAGAGCUCGUAGGCGGCUUGUCGCGUCGGAUGUGAAAGCCCGGGGCUUAACCCCGGGUCUGCAUUCGAUACGGGCAGGCUAGAGUUCGGUAGGGGAGAUCGGAAUUCCUGGUGUAGCGGUGAAAUGCGCAGAUAUCAGGAGGAACACCGGUGGCGAAGGCGGAUCUCUGGGCCGAUACUGACGCUGAGGAGCGAAAGCGUGGGGAGCGAACAGGAUUAGAUACCCUGGUAGUCCACGCCGU
RNAcentral lists this ribosomal RNA (704 nucleotides) under Streptomyces angustmyceticus. RNAcentral describes it as "bacterial SSU rRNA". It matches the Rfam family "Bacterial small subunit ribosomal RNA", at positions 86 to 803 of the family's 1533-position model. The record is from RNAcentral. Lineage: Bacteria; Bacillati; Actinomycetota; Actinomycetes; Kitasatosporales; Streptomycetaceae.